GCGUCCAAUGGGAGCGGCGGUAGCGGGGGCCGCGAGGCCCGCCCGCGCGGCUCGGGGCGGUGCUGAGGCGGGCGGGCGCUGAGGCGGCCGUUUCCUGUCCUGGUGCAUGGUGGUCGGACGGAGGAAUUGUUGGAAAAUUUCUCGGCGAGGUAGACAAUGUUAUUAGCUCAGAUAAAUCGAGACUCUCAGGGAAUGACUGAAUUUUCUGGAGGAGGAAUGGAGGCCCAGCAUGUGACUCUUUGUCUAACAGAAGCUGUAGCUGUGCAAGGUGAACCUUCAGAUGGUGACAACUUAGAAAACAUGGAAGGUGUAAGUUUGCAAGCAGUUACCCUUGCUGAUGGCUCCACUGCUUACAUACAGCACAAUUCUAAAGAUGGUAAAUUAAUGGAUGGCCAAGUGAUUCAAUUAGAAGAUGGUUCUGCUGCUUAUGUUCAACAUGUACCCAUGCCUAAAAGCAGGGACAGCUUGCGUCUGGAAGAUGGACAAGCAGUUCAGCUGGAAGAUGGAACUACAGCAUUUAUUCAUCACACCUCAAAAGACAGUUACGACCAGAGUGCAUUACAAGCAGUCCAGCUGGAGGAUGGAACUACUGCCUACAUUCACCACACAGUGCAAAUGCCACAGUCAGAUACCAUUUUAGCUAUUCAAGCUGAUGGCACGGUAGCAGGUCUUCAUACAGGAGAUGCUGCCAUUGACCCAGAUACCAUCAGUGCUUUGGAGCAAUAUGCAGCCAAGGUGUCUAUUGAUGGAAAUGACAGUGUUAGUGGCACAGGAAUGAUAGGUGAAAAUGAACAAGAUAAAAAAAUGCAGAUUGUCUUGCAAGGACAUGGAACAAGAGUGACUGCAAAAUCUCAGCAGAGUGGAGAGAAAGCCUUUCGCUGUGAUUAUGAUGGCUGUGGAAAACUGUACACAACAGCUCACCAUCUUAAGGUGCAUGAAAGGUCACACACAGGAGACAGACCAUAUCAGUGUGAACAUCCUGGAUGUGGCAAAGCCUUUGCGACAGGGUAUGGGUUAAAAAGUCAUGUCCGAACACACACUGGUGAAAAGCCUUAUCGGUGCACAGAAGAAAAUUGCACCAAAUCUUUCAAGACUUCAGGAGACCUGCAGAAACAUAUUCGAACCCACACAGGUGAAAGGCCUUUUAAAUGUCCAUUUGAAGGAUGUGGCAGGUCAUUCACAACAUCUAAUAUUAGAAAGGUUCACAUCAGGACACAUACAGGCGAAAGGCCUUAUUACUGUACAGAGCCAGGAUGUGGGAGAGCUUUUGCCAGUGCAACUAAUUAUAAGAAUCAUGUGAGAAUACACACAGGGGAGAAACCCUACGUCUGUACAGUUCCUGGUUGUGAUAAACGUUUUACAGAGUAUUCCAGUUUAUACAAACAUCAUGUUGUACAUACUCAUUCCAAACCAUAUAACUGUAAUCACUGUGGGAAAACAUACAAGCAGAUUUCUACACUUGCUAUGCACAAGCGGACAGCACACAAUGACACAGAGCCCAUUGAAGAAGAACAAGAGGCUUUUUUUGAGCCACCUCCAGGUCAAGGUGAAGAUGUUCUCAAAGGCUCCCAGAUAACCUAUGUGACAGGUGUAGAGGGAGAAGAUGUAAUUUCUGCACAGGUUGCUACAGUUACGCAGUCAGGAUUAGGUCAACAAGUAGCACUAAUAUCCCAGGAUGGAACCCAACAUGUCAACAUAUCCCAGGCAGAUAUGCAGGCCAUUGGCAAUACUAUCACUAUGGUAACACAAGAUGGCACCACCAUCACAGUCCCUGCCCAUGACGCUGUCAUCUCUUCUGCAGGAACACAUUCUGUAGCGAUGGUUACUGCAGAAGGCACCGAAGGACAGCAGGUUGCUAUUGUGGCUCAAGACUUAGCAGCAUUUCAUAGUGCCUCAUCAGAAAUGGGACAUCAGCAACAUGGGCACCAUUUAGUGACUACAGAAACUAGACCCGUUACAUUGUUGGCUACAUCCAAUGGAACACAAAUUGCAGUACAGCUUGGAGAACAACAGUCUCUGGAAGAAGCCAUUAGAAUAGCCUCCAGAAUACAACAGGGUGAAACACCAGGGAUUGAUGAUUAACUGCUAAAACUGCUACCAGAACAAUAGAGUGAAAGAUGAGUGUCAAGAGCACUUCUGAAACUGAAGCCUCACCUUUUACCUUCUCAAGGGAAGGAAGGAUUAAACAUCUUCUGGAUGACGUGUUAAUCAAGUAAUCAUUUUUUUCCGGAAACAGUGGCUGGAACGGUGGCUUUGACUUAGCAAAGAGAUAACUUCAGUUCUUCUCAUUUCCCAGGACAUUUUCUGACCGCUGUACAAAUAGUGGAGAGACCUGUGCGAUUUUCUACCCUGCUUCCAUUCAGAUUCAGACCGGAGUGGAAGGAGCUGUUUUGGUAAGCUGAUGCUGCGUGUUGGUCUUGGAAGGACCUGUAGUGGAGAUUAGACAGGACUAAAUCCAGUUAGAUAGGAAUACUGGUGAAAAGAAUUUCAGGAGGAGGAAACAAAGAAUAUGACAAAAAGGAUUGGGUGUUUGGCAGUAGAAAUCUCUAUCCUUUCCCCAUAGAUUUUACUCCUCUUUUUGAAAGUUCUGUCUCAAAGGGAAUGCUGUGGCAGACUAGAAGGAAAUAAUUUGUAAAAGAGGAAUCCUAUAAAGCAACUCAGUAUAUCACUUCCUCUUACAAACUGGCUCCCACAUUUCCAGCAUUCUCAGUCACAAUUUUUCUUUCAGAUCUGAAUUACAGGCCUACACCAACUCCUCCCUUAAAGGAAUAAACCCAAAAUCUCUGUAGACUUUGCAGUCAACUUUUCACUUUUAAAUGUUGCUACGGUUUUUCACCACUGUGGGCUUUGCUUUUCUUUACUGUAGUUCAGUGCCUCUCCUGAUAGUAAAAGAGAGAGGCAAUUAUUUUCAGUGCUCCAGGCUGAUGACCUAUUGUGCCAGACACACUACGCAUAACAAUAGGACAGCUCUUUUUUACCUUAAAGAGCUAAUGCCAAAGCACACAUGAAUAGGCUGGGGCUGGAAGACUGUGUUUUUAUAAGAGUAAAUCCUGAAGCCUGACAACAAAGUUGUAAACAGCCAUAAUCCCUGAUGGUAUAAUUAAUCUCAGCAACCCAUCAGCUGACCGAUACCAGAGAUAUUCAGGCAGUGUGGGAGAAAAGGCAUGUGGUGUCUGCUUAGCACACGAGAAGGACAGAGCUGAUAGUCCAGGUAAACAAAAUGUCUGAGCUUGGAAGGCAGUUCUUCCUAAACUUUACUCUAGUUUCUAACCCUUGUAACACCUCAAAUGCUGCUGGGAGUAAUUUGUUUGACUGGGUGCUCUGGUUUCUGUGAUGAUCAUGCAGUAGUACAAUAUGGAAAAAUCACUGCAUACUGUGUACUUCUGAGUGCAGAGUCAGGGAGCCUUCCCCAAGGACAGGAAGCUAUUUAAUCGGUAUUUAGCCACCAGGAAAAGAUGGUUCGGAGUAAGGAUCUGAUCAAGAGUGUUUCUGAAUCUGGCAACUUCAGCACUACAGCUGUUGAGGUUAGUCAGAUUGCACACCUUAGGCUGACCAUAGCUUCUACUUACCAAGAUGCAUUAGUGUCCUAUAACAGACCUAUUCCAGUCACUCUUAGUUUGUUAUUGAAUGAAAGUAAUUAAAUGUUCUGUAAAAUUUUCUGUGUAAUUUUCAAAUAUAGCACAGAUGAAAUUUCAGUAAUAGUUGGGUGGGAAGCAAACUGAUUUUAAUAAGCGUUAAGAGACUGGAAAUGAAGGGUAACUUGUGUUCUGUUCAGCUAUUACUUUACAGUUGUUUGGAACUUUAAAAAUAUAUUUAUUCAGCCUGCAUCAUUUUUGUCUUGAAAAAGAGAAAUUAACACAUGCCUUGUCUUUGCAGAUGCAUAAAUUCAAACUCCAGCUGGUUGAUGACAGUAAGGUACUCCUAUUUUUUUUGCAAAGCAGUAUAUCUUUGAACACCAGAUCCCCCCAAAAGUAUUUUUUGCUCCAUUGAUAGAAACCUUGGACCCCUAUGACAAGGGACCAAAAAAUCAAGAGCCAUUUUCAGUUCUUGUGUUGUAAAUAGUACACUACACUCCAAAUAAGGCAUAGAAACAAGCAUUUUUUCUGGUGUUAUGUGUAUUUUAAAAUGCAGCUUAGGUGUUGCCAGCAGUUUGGCAUUCCUUUGAUGCUAUUUUUCAUUCUGCUAGAAAAGUUCACUUCGUCAAAGGAAAAUAACAAUCUAAUUAGACCAUCACCAUUAGCAGUAAGUGGUUGACACCUAACCCUAUCAGGAAUGUGAUACCAGACUUUUUCAGCUGAGGGUUAUAUUCAAAGCAGAUUUUAAUUAUCCCAAUAAACAUAGAAGCUUGUAUCAACAAGCAAGCAUUUUUUGUCCUACACUCUCUGUGUAUUUCUCUCUAAUGGAGAUGUGACCCCCUUAAAUCCUAUCCAUCUCAGGUUCUGAAACAGUAAGAGAUUUUAUUUGGAUUAUUUUUGUUCCAUUUAGAUUAUUUAAAGCAUUUUACUCGGGGCAUGGCAAAAAUUUACACUUUCAGGGCACAAGUGAUUGUGCGGAAUUUUUUCUACAAAAAAAAAGUGUCUUAUGUUACUGUCAAAAUCCUAGCAUUUGACUCUUGCCUUUGUUUAAAUCCCUUACCAGCCUUCAGGUUGACUGGCUGCUGUGUUUUACUUAUUUUUCUGCGGAGUUUUAGACUCUCCAUCAUGUUACUGCUUGAUUCUGUAGUAUUUUGCUGAGGGGCUUCUGAGCAGGUAUCUUAGUGAGGCAAGACAAGGAAGAGACGCUGACUUCCUAACAUCUGGCAAGUCUGCUGGCAUAAGAGAAACUACCCCAUGACUGUAGAAAGCUCAUGGAGAAAGGACAAUGUUCCAAAGCUACAUCUCCAGUGGGCUUUUUGCUUUGGUGUAGAGCUAAUUCAGAUUUGAGUACAGGUUGUAAUGACUGAAAAAUCAAAGGACAAGAAUGGUUUGUGGGACAGACAGGAUUAGCUGCUAUUUGUUUUUAAACAGGUAUAUUCAAGACAGUAAGAGACAGAUGUUUGAAUGUAGGUUCCUGAGGGUGGUGUUAGUGGGAAGAAGGUGGCUGAGCCUCUUGAAACUCUUACUAGGCUUUUAUCUUUUUAUCUGCAUCUCUGAAAAAUGUUUGCAGAAUGUCUUACCUUAAGUGACAUGCGUAAGAGAUUACUAAAAUGAAUAGUAGUAAAUUUGAAAAAAGGCUGAGUACCUCUUUUAUGGUUUUGCAUGUUCCCUGAAGGAGAAAAAGGAAGAAGGCUUGGGAUACUGGUAAAUUAGUAGUGACUAGUUUCUGUGCAUUAGACAUUUUGAGGUUUUUAAUUGCAGAUACAAAAUCUUGACUUCUAUUCUGAUCAUUUUAACUUCACUUCAGCACAGGAAUGAGGCAUUCUAAUUGUACUUGUUUUCAGUCAUAGCAAUCAUUCUGUCUCUUCAACUUUUAGGAUGUUUUGGAGGAAUUUCUGAUCUGAAUACAAAUCUCAGGAACGGAUUCUUUUGCCACUUUCUUUGUAAGCAGAUAUUUCAAGUGUUAAGAGGCAGACAUACAGGCAAAAAUGAAGACACUAAAAACUCUUAAGAGUGUGUGCUGUCAUAGUCACAGAGAAACAUUGAAUUGUACAUGACUGCUUGGCAAAACCUGUGCUUUUUUUAAUGUACCUUGUACAUUAUAACUUCUGAGUAUCUUCAGAUCUUCCCUUAAAUUCCCAGAUUUUGGGCCCAGAAAUUGCUCUUCACUUUGGGAAGCAUCCUAGGUGCUGUCAAAUUCCCCAUUCUAUUCUCCACCUUGUUCUCUUGCUCUUAUUAUUUACACUUCCUGAGUGAAUACAUCCUGGAGAAAUGCUCUAUCUGCAUGCAGGCUAUAGGCUAAAAAGAGUAAAAGCACUGGGAGCAUCAACUACAGGCAUGUCUUUGGACACAAAGUCCACCUUUGAUGGAGAACCCAUUCAACUCUGGACCUUGUAAUAAAUAAAAAGAGGUUGCCAUCUAACAGCAGCUGUUAGCACAACCCCAGAUAAAACAGUCUUUAAACUGUUCACCUUUAAGCUGUCAGUGGCCCAGAGACAACAUCUCCCAGUUGGCUGGCACAGUACCACUGAGACCUGUUAGCCUUGUAUAUGCCAAGCCUUCUGUGAACACUGGAAUGCCAUCACUGGCACUGGUGACAAGCAUGCUAGUCCCUAGGUACCUGCUGGAACCCAAGAGAAAAGCCGGGAAUAGCACAGAUCUGUCCCUGCUCUCAGUUCUCCAGCGACAGCCCUGGCACAGGUGGCUGUAGUGUUUCUAUUUUUCAUAUAAGCAACUUAACCUUCCUCCUCUUCUGCUUUUUCACUCCAUUUACCCUUCUCAUAAUAAGAGGAACUCAUUAUAGUUUCACGACUGUGCUGGCUGAUGUGGAAUGGGUUUCAUACAGUUUUUGGCAGAACUCUUCCAAUUUGAUCAAAGUGGUUUUGGGGGACUGCAGAUGAACUUAUAAGUGCAGGAAAUCCUGACAAGAUGGCAGUGUACUACCCACUUCUGUGGCAGUUUCUUCUGACAGCUAGACAAAUUGGCCAUUGUUGCAUUUCUUUCCCAUUCACCAUUAUUUGGGUUCCCCUGAUACCCACAAAAGAGGGAACAAUGGUUUCCCUUGAAAACUCCUAGUUAAAAGCAGCUGUUUGUCAGUAAGUGUGUGCUGCCCCAGAUAAGUAUUUCUGGUAGCAAAAUCUUCAGUGCACCAGACUGAUAUACUUAUUUUUUAAUUUAAAAGCAAGUAUUAAAAGAAAAAACCAAGCCAAUUUUGCGAAUAUACCCUGAAAACCCUUAAACCGCUCAAAUUGGUAGGAAUAUCAGUCAGGCACUGCCUGGAUAUCAGGUUACAUGCUGUUACAUCUAUUUGGAGGAUCAGGGCUUUAGUUUGCAAGAACUACAGAGGCUCAAAGAUGCAGUUUAAUCAGUUUCAGAGAAUUUGGGAUGAAUUUGGCUGAGUAUGGCGCAGUGGAAGCCUGCAGAGCUCAUCCCUGCUCACUUCUGUUCCUCCUGUGAUGAUGUCCAUUGCUAAUGUGCUCUCUGCCUAAGGGAAUUGGCUCUGCAGUGCUUUUUAGUCAGGCUGUUUAUAGGCCUCCUAGUGCUAGUUAUGUUAUGGCGGACAGGAUAGCAGAGUUGCCACACUCAGUCUGGGGGAAACUCAUCUUCUCUUCAACACAACCGUUUAUGGUCCUGUCAAACUACAGUAAAAGAACAACUGAUGCAAAUUUAGAACAGCACAUAUGUAGAGCCUAUGAACGUGGUCCUUAUAUAGCAACUAUGCAUUUUGUUAUAGUUACAUAUUUAAUCAGUACUUCUCUUUCUUAUUUGCUCUUGGUUUGGAAAUAAACUUUCUUUUAAAACAA
Harpia harpyja (harpy eagle) is the source of this 7378-nucleotide RNA transcript. It is a transcript of the gene named zinc finger protein 143, with no coding region annotated. The transcript has 19 exons. The record is from RefSeq and is a predicted model, not a curated record. NCBI's taxonomy places the organism in Eukaryota, Metazoa, Chordata, Aves, Accipitriformes, Accipitridae.